RNAcentral lists this ribosomal RNA (429 nucleotides) under Chloroflexota bacterium. RNAcentral's name for it is "Chloroflexi bacterium partial 16S ribosomal RNA". It matches the Rfam family "Bacterial small subunit ribosomal RNA", at positions 355 to 776 of the family's 1533-position model. Lineage: Bacteria; Bacillati; Chloroflexota. The record is from RNAcentral.
UGGGGAAUAUUGCACAAUGGGCGCAAGCCUGAUGCAGCCAUGCCGCGUGUAUGAAGAAGGCCUUCGGGUUGUAAAGUACUUUCAGCGGGGAGGAAGGGAGUAAAGUUAAUACCUUUGCUCAUUGACGUUACCCGCAGAAGAAGCACCGGCUAACUCCGUGCCAGCAGCCGCGGUAAUACGGAGGGUGCAAGCGUUAAUCGGAAUUACUGGGCGUAAAGCGCACGCAGGCGGUUUGUUAAGUCAGAUGUGAAAUCCCCGGGCUCAACCUGGGAACUGCAUGCGAAACUGGCAGGCUAGAGUCUUGUAGAGGGGGGUAGAAUUCCAGGUGUAGCGGUGAAAUGCGUAGAGAUCUGGAGGAAUACCGGUGGCGAAGGCGGCCCCCUGGACAAAGACUGACGCUCAGGUGCGAAAGCGUGGGGAGCAAACAGG